RNAcentral lists this long non-coding RNA (11044 nucleotides) under Lynx pardinus (Iberian lynx). Lineage: Eukaryota; Metazoa; Chordata; Mammalia; Carnivora; Felidae. The record is from RNAcentral.
GCUGUGCUCAGCCGGGAGCAGAGCGGACAGCGCCAGCCUGAGCGGAGCACCGUGCGUCCCCACCCGCCGGGCCAGGUACCGCUGGGGGCGCCGACCCCCAGUCCAGGGCACCGGGCGGGCAGAGCUCUACUGUGCACCCUCCCGUCCGUAGCUGGGCUCUGGGCAGCGCCUGUUACCCGUCCCGUCCCGGGCAGACACCCCAGCCUCCCGCGAGCCAGAACCCCGCGCGCUCUGGGCUCAGUCCGGGGACUCGCCACUCAGGGGUCAGUUCUGAGCUUGAACUGGUAUCCUGGGAAAGGCAUUUCGCCGCCUCAGGGCCUGUCGGCAGGGCCAGGAGGGACAGCAGGAGGUCAGCAGCACUCGGGGCUGGGGCCACAGGACGCCUUGUUGGGGGCUCGGGCGGUGAGCGAUGGGCUUCCCGAGGCAGGGCCCACGGGGACUAGCUAGAGAGGGUCCCGGAGGGGGGCCUAAAAGGGCCCGGGAGCGGGCUCUGGAGCGCUGCCCCGACGGGCGCCUGACAGGCAAAUCUGCCCGGCUGGCACACCGGGAGUCUGGGUAUAUUUAUCCCGGCUGCGUUGGGCAGGGGCUUGAGGGCAGAUCGGGCCAGGCUGCCUGAGGGGCCGUGGGGCACAUGUUGGUCCCAGAGUCCGUGCCAUUUGCAGCCGGGCCAGCGGGCACGGCAGGAACAGGGCGCGUGUGGCUCCCUGGCCUGAGGGCGGGGCUCUGUGUGCUCUCCUUGCUGCCUCAUUCCCCGGUGGGGGUAUAAGAGCUGGCGCCGCGCACGCGGGCGGAGGGAAAGGACCAAAACCGGGUUUGCAGGAGCCCGCCCCCGUUCCAUUGGCCCCUUCGAUUGGCCACAGCGAAUGCGUGCGUUUGUUUACACCCGGGGAGGGGGAGGCCAGGGGCGGGGCCUGUGGGAAUCCGCCCUCUCCCCCCAGGGUGACCUGAGCGCUGAGCUCAGGUGUAAGCUCUAGGACAAGUCUGAAAGGGACUAAGUCAAAGGUCCUUGCACCUUGCACCCUGGGGGACUCCUGGACCCAGGCCCAUCCUUCCUUCAGUCGCCCAGUCCUGUCCUUUCUUCCAUGACUUCCUUGGGCCACUGUUCUGGAAGAGGCCUUUGGACCUUCCACCCCUUCCUCUUCAGUAAACAGUUGCAUGGGAGUUCAGUUCCUUCAAGAAAGGAAGAAAACUCUUCAGAGCUUUUCAGUCUGGAGCCUAGAAAGCUGAAGAGAUCUGGGGACAGUUCCAUUUUGAGAUGGGGAAGUUCUGCACAACCAUGGAAGUCUUCCUGCAGGAAGCACUAGAUGUAGGAGGAAUCAGGGUGGGUGAGGCCAGGCGUGGCACAUCUCCAAGAGGGCUGGAAUGACUGGAAUCAUUCCAUGAGAGUCUCUGACCCUUUGGGGUUGGGGACAGGGGACUGGUUCUCUGGGGAGGGGAGGGGUAUAUGUCUCAGAACCUCACUCUGCCUGAGCUCAUAGAGGCCAUGUCCUCACUGGCUUCUCAAACCACUCUUUCUUCAGUACUGGUUCUUUUGGCCCUCAUCACAACCUCACCACACACACCCAGUCCAGGGCUCAAGGUGGCCAGACCAUGAGAAUCAGUUGCUCCUGUCCUGGUGCCUGCUGCCCUAGCAAGUAGCCAUGGAACCUUGGGCAAAUAGAGAAAAUGAGGCACAACAGGUCUCUGGGUAGUGUCGGGGAAGGUUUUUGAGCUAAACUAAGUGUACCCUGAAAGUCCAGGCUGGGUGUGGAACAAACAGGCACUCAUUCUAAGGGGAAAGCAUGUUUUAGGGGAGUGGUUGGCUGCAAGGGAGGUACAGUUUGGUAUCUGUGUGCACAGAAAGCCUGUGUGGGAUGUGUAUACUAUGCUGUAGUAAGAUAGGAGCUCUGCAGGCACAUGAUCUAGUUCAGACAUGACCAGGGUCCAGGGGCCACUUGGAGCUGGGUUGAGAUGGGUUGGGGGCUUGCCAAGGGCCUUGAACCCAUUCUAUUCCUUUUACAACAUUUGCUGAGCACCUACUAUGUGCCCUGCAAACAUUCAGUCUGGUGAGUGGAGGGCUGGCCUUUGACUCUGGAUAAGAAGACAGAUGCGGUGGUGGGGUGGGGAGGACUCUAGAAGACCAGGCGGGGCUUCUGGGGGCCAAAGGGAAGGACCAGCUGCUGGGGCAGGAGGGGCUUUCCGGUCAGCGGCCUGGGGUGGCUUGGUUUUGAAUUUCCGCUCUGCGGGCCACGUCCUGUACACAGCCUCUCAGCCGGCACGUCUGCACACGUGCAUGACUGCUGAGAAUGGGGGUCACCAUCACCUCUGUGUAUCUUUUCCAUUGUGUGGGUAGACAGUGCUGGACUGGGGAGUGGUGAGCUUUCCAGCUGGGCCUGGACCUGCAGCCCUAGUGGGCUCAGACCCGCUGUCUGGAUGUCCCUGCACCUAGCUAAUGGAGGCAUAACCUGCUCUUGUAGGAACCUGCAGAUGCUGGGCAGCCUUCUUGUGGGGUCCUCCAGGGUUCUGCCUGGCCAUCCCUGAAGUGCCCACUGGGCCUGCAGCCCACUCGCCUGGGCCUCUGGCUCCCUCUUCCCUCUCACUCCUUCUGGGGUCCUCUCUGUCUUUCGUUGGCUGUCUCCCUGUCUCUCUGUCUCUUUUUCCAUUUAGCUAUCUCUGGCUGGUUGGCCAUCGCUGUCUCUCAGCUCUCUGGUUGUCUGUCUCUCUCUGUCUCCCUGUCUGAAUGUGUAUCCACCUUCUUCUGUGUGUAUUUUCCUGUUGGUGUACCUUUAUAUCCAUCUGCAUUUCUCUAUCUCCCUGUGCCUCUCUGUCUCUUUUUCUGUCCAGAUCAGUAUUCAUGCACUGCAUGUAUGUGUUUUCUGCCCUUCCUCUUUCCUUGCCCCUCUCUUCCCUCCCUCUGCCGCUCUGCUUCUGCCUGACAUUGAAUGGUGCCUCUCCUCCAGGCCAACCUUGCCUUUAGCCCCUCCCCCCUUCCACUGGGGUCUCCAAUGAGUCCUGAGCUGCCCCAGGCCCCUGCUCCAGCUUUCCUUGGGGCCAGAAGUCCGGCUGUCCAAAUAUUUGGCCGCCUCCAGGGGAUUCCGGGUCAGCAGGGAGGAGGAUGGGCUGGCUGGCUCGGGGUCUCCCCUGCCCCUGGGGGGCCACAGGCACGUGAUGUCCUGUCCUUUGCCUUGGCUGGGCCUCCAGCUGCACGUCCCUCUCAGCGGGCUGGCAAUGGGGGGAGGGGGCUGCUGCUGGCUCUGGCCCAGUCUUGACCAAGAGGUUCCAGCUGCAGCCUCCACUGGGGGAGCAAGGAGGGUCCUGGGCUGGGUGGGAGGGGAGGCCUAGGGGUCUGGGGCAAGGUCCAACUCCAGGCAUCUGUUGGGUGUCUAGCAAAUGUACCCUGUCACAGGAAAGUCCAACUUCCGGCCCCAGCUGGGCCCCUCAGAUCCUCCUAGACACUUCCGGAUGCCCAGAACACAGAAGCACAGACCCCACACACCAGGGCCAAGGAGCUAAACUAUGAGGGAUCGGUGUUGCCAACACAUCAAUGUUCUGGGCCAUCUUCCUUUCCUUGGAUGUGCCCUCUCCUCCAUACCACCCCCCUCAGUACCAGCCAGGUGUUGACCUUGCAGUGGCCAUUUGCCCAGUGUUGUUGAUGAUGAAGGAGCAGUGGAAGGGGUACUGGAUCUACCGAGGUCAAAAUCUGGAGUUGUGCGUCUGGAGGAAGAGCUAGGGGUGCACAGGGCUGUAGUAUUCUCCCCUGUUCAGAACACCCUUCCAUAUGCCCUAGCCCUAGCCCCCUGACCUCAGCAAUGAUCUCCUCACCAAUCCCUGGGGCUGUGCCUUGAGAACAUAUAAUUCAGACAUGUCCAUUGAAUCUAGUUUCCUUGUUGACUGACAGCUUGUCCUAAGAUGAUGUUCUCCUUCUGAAGCCUGGAGAAGAAGGUGGGCAGGGAGUGCCAAGAUAGGAGGGGCACCUUGUCUCAGCCAGGAGGGGACUAAGGAUGGCUGAGCUGGAACUGAGAGCAGCCUUCAUCCCUGAGCCUCCAGGGAUAACCACAACAGACCCUCAGGCCAGACCAGCUGCCUCUCCCCUGAGAUCUGGGCUGAGGCUAGGACUUCCCAGGCACCAGAAGCCUGGGGACCAUGGCAACAAGUUCUAUGGGGUCUGUGCCUCGAUCAGCACAGACGGCCAGGAAGGACUGAGGGAAGAACAGUGUGGAUGCCUCCCUGUAGCCAGCCUGACACUGCAGACCCAUUUAUGUCCCUGAGCAUUAGGGAGGAAAGCAGGGCUCAAGUCCCUGGUGGUUCCAAGGACCUCAAUCCUGGGACAGAGAGGUAUGUGUCCUACAGCAGCUGAUGCAAGCAGUGGGCCUGUGGUGGCCUGGAUUCCUGGGCCUCGAAAUCUUUAAUUAGCCAAACUCAACACCUGCCAAGGUGUGCCUGACAAGUUCUCACCCUGUGAUGCCCGCGUGGGCGAGCGUUACCUACUGCACUAUCCCUGUGGCUCCUGGCCUCUCCUAGCCCUUAUCUCCCAGCAGAGCAAACAGGGCCCAGGGCAGUGGCCCAGGCCAUCGAUUUCCUGCCCAAGUCCAUUCUGCACCCAUGACCGAUGCUAUUCUGAUGAUCUGCCCAAGGUCGCAGUGACAGCCCCACACUAGAACCUGACCCCUCUCUGGAAGCCCAUGGCAUGGUCUGGGACAAAGGCCUUGGAGAGGAUCCUCACUCUGUCCCCAGCUUUGCCAAACUUCUGGGGACCUCUGCAGGGCAGGAGGACACUGAGGUCCUGAGUGGGGAAUACUCUACCCGUGGUCACACAGUAAGGCAGGGCCAGGCCAGGACUCAGACUCCGAAUGUCCACUGUGGACUUUCUCAACAGUGGGUCAGAUUCUGCUGGCAGAUUUCCCUGAGUCCACCCUGACUCCCUGAUACAAAGGAGCCUGGGAGGUGGUAGGCCUGAGGGAUGGGAACUGUCAGAAAUGGGCUGCCAGCCUCAGGGAAUGGCUGAGAGUCCACAUGCCAGGCUAGCACUCCACUCUGGCUGCUUAGCCCUUAGCCCUGCCCUACACUGAAGUACAGACUCAUUGACCUGGCCUUCAAGGCUUUGUCAGGUUUGUCUAUAGCCAUGGAACCUUCAUUCUGCCUCAUACCACACCUUAGAGCCUUUGCCCAUGCUGUGCCCUCUGCUUAAGGCAUUCUUUGCUAUUCCACACUUUUGGGACUCCUGGAAUUUCAGAAAUGGCUCCAUCACCUCCUCUGCCAGGAAGCCUUCCUUGAUGCCUCUCUCCCCCCUUUUUUGAGUCCCAGCACUAUGUGGCUCAUAUUUAGUUGUUGCAGGAACUAUAAGGUGGGGGCUAUGUUUGGGGAUUUUGUCCCUUCCAGACCAGAAGCCAUUUAGGGAAGGAUAUUCCAUGUCCUCUCUGGGACCUCAAACCAGCCCAAGAUCCAGCAGUGACUGGUUUUGAGUAUCAGACAGGCUGUGAAGGUCUAGGUGUAGGUCCUGCUGGGGGGAUGGGGAACCUGGAUACAGGAACUCGGGCACUUUGGCCAUGACCAUGCCGUGGGCUGUGGUCUCCCUGGAGGUAGUGCUGGCUGCUAGGGAAGGAUAUUAAGGCAGAGAAGGGUGCUUUGUCCAAGCUGCCAACUCAGCACACUCUGAGGGCCUGUCCCAGCCUGCCCAGGGUGGGAGGCCCGAAAAGGACAACCCUAGCUGAGAGCCAGGGGGCACUCUGGAGUGACUCUGGAGAUGAGGUGCUGGCAUCUCCACAUCCAGCUGGGAUCCUUGGAGAGGUGCUGAUAGUGAGGCUUAGGGCAGAGACUCAUCCAGGGGAAGAGGGCACGAGAGAUGUUCACAUUGUCAUGGACCUGAAUGGACAGGGCUGGAGGUGAGAUGGGUUCAGAUGCCAGCAUCAGAAGAAAGAGAGGCAGGCCGAGGGGGCCCGAGGGUUCCAAGUGUGGAGUCUCCAGGACCGAGGUUCCUGGGAUCUGAACUCUGGCCUGGGGCUGCCUGGGGCAAUGGUGGGCUGGUCCUUUAGUCAGUUCUGUGUGGCUGCUGCCUCCAGGACACUGGGGCCUGAGGCCUGAACCCAGCCUUCUGUCCCCACACAUAGCCCCAAGUGCUAAGAACACUGGUGUUCUGGGUUCUAAGUAGACCUGAGACCAUCAGGAUCCGGAGUGGGGAUGGGGGGUUCAGGGCGGGAUUCAGGAUUCCCAAGCAGAGAGCUUGUCAUGGCACCAAGCCUAGGCUCCGAUAGGGACACCUGGCUGGCUCAGUCAGUAGAGCAGGUCACUCUUGAUCUCAGAGUUGUAUGUUUGAGCCCCAUGUUGAGUGUAGUGAUUACUUAAAAUUAAAAUCUUUUUUUUUAAAUUAAAAUCUUAAAAAAACAAAACAAAAAACAGGCUAGGCUGUGGCUGACCUGCAUGGCAGUGCUGCCCCCUCCCUGGUCUCGACUAGAGUCUUAGCUCUCCUUCUGGCCUCUCUGGCCUUCAGGAUGUCCUUAUAGAUCCUGGGGCACUGUGCCAGGUACCUUCUGGGCAUGGGGUAGGUGGCUUCCAGCCCCAGUGAUUGGGGGGGGGGAGCUGGCUCCUUAGAGGCCCAGCAGAGCCAUGCCCUGAGGGCAGGAAAGGGAGGACUGAUCCAGUGGCCUAGACUCCUCUACAGCUGCCUAAGACCCUGAGUUCCUGGCCUGGGGUUCUAGGAAAUGGAGAAUCUGCUCCAAUGGUCCACUACUGGAGGGUGGUCACCUAAGGGGUAGGGGUAUUCCCCCUAGCCCCUAGCAGGGGAAGAGAAGCUUGAAGGAGAACAUGGCCCUGAGGUCAUGGCUGUGUGGAGAGUGAGGCCUGUGUGGCUCAGAGAAUUCGGCCCUGGGACGCUCGUUUCCUGGAUGGCCCCCUGAGGGCCCUUUGCAGCCAGGCGGGCAGGGCCCAGGUGUCCAGCCACCCAGCACCGCCUCAGGCCUCCUGGCUCCGGGGGGGUAGCCUUUGCGCCUGCCGUUCCCAGCGCCAGCUCUCAGACCACAGAAGGCCCUUUGUUCUGGCUGCCAGCAGUGCCCGCCGGGCGGCUGGGAACAGGGCCCACAGCCCUCACCCUCUCCCAAGGCCUCCAGCCGUCGGGCAGUGCCAUUCUAGGUUGGCUAGGAGGCCCCUGGCACACAGGGCCGGCACAGGAAACCGUCUCCCGGUGUUAAUGUCAGGGAGGGGGUGUCAAUCCAGGGCCCACCACCAGCGCGGGGUCUGGAUUCCUGGGACUCAGCAUCCUGGGGUCCAGGCACCACUGGACUCUGAACUCAGGUCAUCCAGCUGAUCCUCACUUCGCAGAUGGAGAAACUGAGGUCCCAAGGGCUUGCCUGGACUGGUAUGUGAGUGGUGGGGGGAGUGCUACGUACUGGCCAAGGUGUCCCAUCAGGAUGUCUUGGAGAACUCAGGUAUCUGAGCUCUACUCCCCCAAAAGCAGGUCCCGGGGAGGCAGCAGGCACAGCUGCAUGUGCACAUAAAUCCUGAGUGAGCUUCUGGGAGGUGUGAUAGGCUGUAGACUCCCCAUGGGAGGCUGGGCCAUGGGUCCUGGGAGAAGGGAUAACCAGAGGGACCAUUGCUCUGCAGACCUUUGACUUGUGUUGGUGUGAGAGUCAGUGCUCCGGGUGGCAGACCCUGACCAUGGAGGCACCUCUGCAGACGGAAAUGGUGGAGCUGGUGCCCAACGGCAAACACUCAGAGGGGCUGCUCCCAGUCACCACCCCCACGGCUGUCAACCAGAGGUGAGCAGAGGGACCCAGUCGUGGUCAGGGCAGGGCAGGGUGCAGAGCAAGGGCCGGAGCUGAGCUGACUGCUCUGGCCUGUGCCUACAGGGUCGAAGGCCCCAGACGGAGCUGUGUUGAGGGCGAGGGCUUCCUACAGAAAAACCCCAGCAAGGAGCCACACUUCACAGACGUGAGCUGGAGGGCACAGUGGGGUGGGGGGCUUGGGAGAUUUCACGCAGUAACAAAGAGCUCUGGGGCAGCAACGGGAGGUUAAGGGACAGUGAGGGGGAAUGUUGGGAUACCCUCCAUGCGUCGCUGUCUCUCCCCCCUGCCCCCAUCUCACUCUGGUGCCUGCAGUUUGUGGGGAAGACUUCAUUUGGGAUGUCAGUGUUCAACCUCAGCAACGCCAUCAUGGGCAGUGGCAUCCUGGGACUCGCCUAUGCCAUGGCCAACACAGGCAUCGUCCUUUUCCUGUGAGUGCCUUCAGUGAACCCUCUAAAGACAGGAGCUCUAAACAGUCCACCAACCAUGACCUCCCAGGACCCAGGCUGUGGGUGGGCUCAACCCAAACCAUGGCUAAAAAAACCAGCCAUGGCCAGACAAAUAUCCCUCAUUUCCUGGUAAACCCACUGAGAUUAUGACACAGGCAAGCCUAACAGACCUGAAUCUAUACUUCUACCACCGUUUACACAUGAUGAACGAAGCCCCAUGGCCAGGCCUUGUGUGGACACACGUGUCCUUACUUGGGACCUCUGCCCUGCAGUCUAAAUGGAAAGCAUGUUUGUUCCAAGAACUCAAGGAGGUAGUGCUCAGAGGACCCCUUCUAGGUCAUGGCUUACCCUGGGUCAAACUGAGCGGUGUUCGCCCCUGCCGGGGCCAGUUGAGCUUGCAUCCACACCUGUUGGGGGCUCCAAACACCUGGGUCACAGACCCACACACCCAGGCCUCCCAGAGCUCACCACCCCUGCCAGCCAGUGAAGCCCUCAGUGGCUCCUUUUCACCCAUCUUCCCCAGGUUCCUGUUGACAGCCGUCGCCCUGCUCUCCAGCUACUCCAUCCACCUGCUACUCAAGUCCUCAGGGAUCGUGGGUGAGCCCCCAACCCAGCCUGGAGCAGGGGAGGGCUGGGCUGGGGAGAGCACUCCUGACUAUUUUGACUCCUGUCCCCACAGGUAUCCGUGCCUAUGAGCAGCUAGGCUACCGUGCCUUUGGGACCCCAGGAAAGCUGGCAGCGGCCCUGGCCAUCACACUGCAGAAUAUUGGAGGUGAGCCUGGCAGGCAGACCCAGACAGGUGGUGGGCAGGUGGGCGGGCUGAAGACUGGCUGGUUUGGCUGACCCCAGCACCUGCCCGCCUCUCUCCCCCCAGCCAUGUCCAGCUACCUGUACAUCAUCAAGUCCGAGCUGCCCCUUGUCAUACAGACCUUCCUGAACCUGGAGGAGCAAACUUCGUGAGCCCCAGGGUGGGGCGGGGCUGGGUGAGGGUAGGAGGGAGGCCUUGGUCUACCCCUCCAUAUGCACCACUGGCCCUGGGAACCCAGGCUGGGCUAGUGGGAGAGAUGAGACAGUGCCUGCAAGUGACUGGUGGAGGGGCAGAGAGCUGCCAACAGAGCUAACAUUCAGUCUACACUCCUUUAGCACCUAGGGGAACCCCCUAGGAGGGCCAGAUGAGGUGAGAGGUGGGGUGAGGCUGAGGAACCUGGGCCCCACCUGGGCCAGGACACAGCCUAUGAGAAAAGGAGAACCUGAGAGCUUCGGGCUUAGCUCUAAGCACCUGCUAUUCCUGACCAGGGCUUGGGCUUUAGCGCCUGCCACCCCCUCCCCCCUCCCCGCCUUCCCCCCCCUCUCCCCCCCCCUCCCCCCCCCCCCCCCCCCGCCCAACCAAGAAAUUAAGCCCGUGGUGUCCCAGUUGCUCUCAUCAGUUUAGCCAGCACUGAUGGAAUCAACCAUGUUUUGUGGGUGGGGACAGAGAAGACAGCCAUGCCCUGCCCUUGGCCACGCAGCCCAGGCAAGCAGAGGGGGUUUGAAGUUGAGAGCAGCUCUGGGAGGAGGAAAACAGCCAGGAUUCUUCCCCCUGAGUCCUGGGUGCCCUUCCCAAGGAGUUGGCCUUUGGGCUUCCCUGGGAAGGAGGGUCUCCUUCCUUAUCCUUUGAGUUCUCUGCGCCAUUGGUGGUGGGGGGUGCAGGAUGGUGCAGGAUGCAGAUGCCAGGAGGGACCACAAGGGGUACAGGAUGUUGGAAAGUCCCUGACACCCCCAUGGAAAAUGCUCCACCUCCCCAGAGCCAGGGUCUUUCAUCCCACCCACCUCCCUGGGCCCCUUGGGGCCACCCCCUGGGGAAGCUGGACCCAGACCUGUGUGUCUUGAGAAAAACAGCAGCAGUGACUAUAGCCCUAAUGGCUACCAAGCAGGAGCUGAGCUCCUUAGUUCUCCCCUCGCCUAGGCCAGUGCUGAGAGAAUGUCCAUUUUGCAGACUCCGAGCUAUGAACAAGUAUUUUUUAGGUGGCCCCGAUUAGGUAUGGAGGCAGGCGGCCUCACCCAAGGCUGAGUGGACUCUGAUGUUGGCUCCCCACUCCUAUUCCUGCAGGGACUGGUACAUGAAUGGGAACUACCUGGUGAUCCUUGUUUCUGUCAUCGUCAUUCUGCCCCUGGCACUGAUGCGGCAGCUUGGUGAGUGUGGCAGGGCUAGGGCCUUGGAGGGGAAUGUUGGAGAAAUGCCUGGGAAGGGACCCCAGUCUCACAGCCCUUCCCCCACGUUGCAGGCUACCUGGGUUACUCCAGCGGCUUCUCUCUCAGCUGCAUGGUGUUCUUCCUAAUUGCAGUGAGUCACUUUCUGUGCUGGUGGAGUGAGGGGACAAGUCUCUUGGGGGGCUCCUCUGUCGGGGCAGGGGGCAGGUCUUUCUGGGAAGCCUGGGUCAGAAGGCAGCUCCUUCUGUCCUGAUCUAGAUGUGUUUUCAUAGUGACUCCCAGGCAAGCCUUGUCUGGCCCUGAUACCCCCAUCUUCCCUGCAACUCAGGUCAUCUACAAAAAGUUCCAUGUGCCCUGCCCUCUGCCCCUCAACCUCGCCAACAUCACGGGCAACGUCAGCCUCAUGGAGGUCACCAAGGAGGAGGCUCAGCUGCAGGCUGAAACAGAGGCCGCAGCCUUCUGCACCCCGAGUUACUUCACACUCAACUCACAGGUUCCAACAGGCCGGGGCAGGGGCUAUGGGCCGGGUGAGAGUGAAGGGCUGCCCUGACGCAGUCACCAUGUCUAUCUAGACAGCAUAUACCAUCCCCAUCAUGGCCUUCGCCUUCGUCUGCCAUCCCGAGGUGCUGCCCAUCUAUACGGAGCUCAAGG